UAGCACAUUUGCAUAGCAGGUUCUAG
This 26-nucleotide non-coding RNA is filed under the name Mus musculus (house mouse). The record is from RNAcentral. Lineage: Eukaryota; Metazoa; Chordata; Mammalia; Rodentia; Muridae.